Long non-coding RNA from Chelonia mydas (Green sea turtle), 4002 nucleotides. RefSeq lists it as uncharacterized. The record is from RefSeq and is a predicted model, not a curated record. The transcript has 2 exons. NCBI's taxonomy places the organism in Eukaryota, Metazoa, Chordata, Testudines, Cheloniidae.
CGCCGGCUUGCUACAGCGGGAGGUGGCCUGGCUCGUCGGCAGUCUGAGCGCGUCCGCGCCCCCCUCCCCGCGUUCGCUCGCUCGCUCAGCGCCCAGCCAGGCGCCUGGGACUUUGCCCCGGGGGGGGGGCUGAGAACAAGGGGAAUGAUCCCCCCCACCCGCAGCAGCUUCGCUCCUCAGGAGACCCCGCUCUGGCGGUAGCGCGCACACCAGGGCCAGCCCAGGGCUUGAGCUUGACUACAACACGCAUUACACGAGGAAAGAACGUGCCAGAGCUGACUUUUCUUUUGAGAGGCAAAAAUGCUGAUGAGCGCUAGCGUUCCUGCUGGAUCACACAGGCGGUGCUGGGUGUUGUGGUGUCGCUGUUGCUGACAACCCGUCACCUGCAUGUGCAUGAAGUACUACUGGCACAGUCAGUACCAACAUCUUGUUCACAGUCUAGUUGACAGCCCAUUAUAUAUAUAUAUCUCCUAUUCUGUUCAUGUCUGUCCAACUGUGGCCAGAUGGGGGGGCGGAAAUUAUGAAGUCCAUAUAGGAUUGCAGAAAAAAGAAAAGUAUUUCCUCAUAGCUGGCACGGAAGUAUUUUAAUACAAUGAUAUUUUGAAGGGGUUUUUUAAUUGCUUUAAAUAUUUAGGAUUUGUUUUGUUUUUUUUUUACUAGUGUGUUUGUUUCCUGAGGUAAAGAGCCAACUCCUGCACUCCAUACUCGGGCAAAACUAUCAUCAGAUUGAACAAAAGAGUAUGGUCUUAUAUUUAGCUUUUCAAAAUGAACAGUACAAGCUGACUUGUGACGUGUUGCCUAAGACAAUCUUAAAUUGGUUCAAUAAGUAUACUACAUAUAUAUAUAUAUAUAAUUUUGAUAAUACUAGCUCAACCACUCUCAGGUUAAGAAAUGUAAGUUCAAAGUUUUGAUCUACCUUAUUUCUUGUUUUGCAAAGUCAUGUACAUCUUUACCUGUUUAUGUUUUAUAAAAUAAAACUUCAGUAGGCUUUUUUUUUUAAGCUAAGACAAAUAAAGGUUAGCAGCUCAUCAAUCUCAAUAGCAAAGCAAAAGUGCAUGCAGGAUGAAUGGAAGACAUUUCUAGCAAGGAAAUAGAUUUUAGUUUUACAUUUCCAAGGCUAUUUACAAAAGAAGUGAAAAUUUUAUUAAGGGUAUUCAGAAAUACUGUUACUGUGCCAUUAUAUGCAAAUACCAUUCAGCAUCAGAGAUGGUUUCAAGUAAAAUGAGAUCCAGAUUUAAUGAAAAUGACAAGAUUUUGUCCCAACUUCACUCAGUGAUAUUGAAUGGGGUCAGGGUAUAAUUUGUCCUAAAAUUGUUAGUAAUAACACAAUACCAUUUUGAGUACAAUAAAAUAGUUUCCUAAACAUUGAUACCCGUCAAAACAUUUUCAGUGCUCCUUCCAUAGGCAACUGUGUUUCCCAUUAAAAUGUAGAUGUUUUAUAUUAAAAUCUGGGCGGGUGGAAAGAAGAAGGAAUCUCUGUAUGGGAAUCUUUGGUUUUCUGGUUUCUGUAGGAUAUUUUCCUUAUGAGAAUCUCUAUUUUAGUAUAUAAUUAAGAGGAAUAUAAUAUAAAUCUAUUUUCAACUACAUCUUAUGCAUAUUCUUUGGAGGGAAUAAGAGAGAAGUGUCAUAAUACAUGGCUUCUUAUCAUUUGUUUCUUUCUUGAGAGAGUUUUUUCCCAUCACGAAGACAACCAGUAGAACAGGAUGAGGUUUAAGAGAUUGAAAGUAGAGCAGAGGUACAAGAAGUCCAGAAGUAGUCCCUCUUCUUCAUAAUUGUUUGCAUAUGUGAUUCACCAAAGGCCUGAACAUGUUUAAAAGGAAGAAUAUCCUGAGUCAAUAUAAUAACGGUUUCACAGGUCCAUUGAAGCCUUAAUCCAGCCUGCACUCUGCAAAGCUGGACUCUGGGUGUUGAAUGUAGCAGAGAGGAUGAAUGAAGAAUCAGCCAAACAAAAGAAAUCAGGGGAGAAAUCUAUAGAGAUAGAGGGUGUGGCGUUCAUAGUUACAUUAAUACAAGGAGAUUAAGGAGGCAAGCAAAUGAGUCUUGUACCAAUGAUGAGGUCCAAGAGAUGCCACCCUUAUGUUGAGUUGUACCUCCCCCCUCAAGGGGUCUAAGGAGAAUUGCCCAACAUCACUUUCUGAAAUGCUCAACAAGGAAGGACCAGAAAUCCAAGAGAAGCCCUUUCAUUCCUGCCAUAGUCGGCAGAUGAGUCAACACCAUGUUGUGAUCAAUGGUGACAAAAGCAAGUGAUAGGUCUAAGAAUAUCAGCGUAAACAUGCUGGGGCUGAUGAUUCUCAUUUAAGCUUAGGCAAUGUCAUGGGGUCACUGCCCAAUCAAGGUACGAUCCAGGCUCCUCUCCUUCUGACUUUGCUUUUUUAAAUUUUCUCAUAAGAGUUAUUAGAUUCAGAAUGUUCUCUAUCCCACCUAGGCUUCAUAAAGCUUUAUACCAUGUCCUCACAAUAAACAAAGUCUUUCACCCUCCGUGCACUUGCUAUAGUGUUUUCCAGGAUUCUGAAUCACUCUUUCAUCCUUGUUCUGACCGUAGUUCUGGGGAGCCAUUACAGGAGUCUUCACUUUCCCCUAUAGUUCCUUCUCCCCAGCCUACUCUGGACUCCUGCCAGAGCCUUUCCAUCCUCUAGCAGUUUUCUCUCAUUUUGUCCUUAUUGAGCAUCCCCACUGAUCUUUAUAGGGGCCAGCUGUCCCUCAUUACACCUGAUGGGCACUGGCUAAUUAGUCCUAAGUAAGCUGAACCACUCACUCUUUAAAGGAGCCAGGCUCACAUGUGACAGGUGCCUUUACAUUACUCUGGCAGUGUAAUAGGGGAUUUAAGGCCCCCUUACACUGCCACAGAGGUGUAAAAGGACCUAAGUGUAACUGCGAAUCAGGUCCCCAGGCUGAUUUAGUAUGAAUCAAGCCUUAUAAAUUAAUAAUUAGAUCAUUUAUCAAUGCCAUCAGUGCAGUCUCUGUUUGGUACUCAGGUUGACACAGGUGAAACAAAUCUGAGGCAUCUAGACACUCUAGUUAUUUUGCCAAAAACUCAAGAAUGGAAUAUUGGAUAAUUGUUAACCAGAUUAUCAGGGCAAGUGUUGAGCAAAGGGCAAAAUCACUUAAUGUUAUAAUAUCUGAAUUUCUACUCUUUGUUUACAAUAAAUAAAAAAAAAAGUUGGGCAAAGGAGUAUGAUCUAAUUUGAUUCAGGGAGGAAUGUAGUCAUGCUUCAAAGCGUGAAGGGUUAUUGACAUAGAAGUCACAAAUGCUUUUCUCUCAUUGUGCCUCCUCUUUUGUAUUCCAUUGGUUAAAUGAUUCUUGCUGACAGUAGCAUGUUGUAAUCUCAUGUCAAAAGCCUGUAACAUCAGAGUUGCUAACACAACUGUCUCCACUGUCCAGUCUAACUAGAUUAACUGGGGAAUAAGACAAGCACUGGGAGAGAUUUCAUGCCUUAUUACAGAUGGCCAAUGGGCAAAGCAAAUUUUCAGAAAAACUCAUUUUUGUUUUUGUCAGCUUUUCAUGGAGAGCUUUUCCCCCAAACCAGCUCUAGUGAAAAGUAAUUAAGAUCAUAUUCAGUUAAAGGAAAAAGGAAAGAACUAUAUUUGUAUGUGUGUACAAAGAUUUGAUGAAUGCUCUGAACAUGCAUUUCUUGGACAAUUAGAAAUAUAGCAUUUUUUUAAAAUUUAUAGUUAGGGCCUUAUUUUCAUUAAUCAGGCAUGCAUUAAUGUGUUCUAUUUAAAUAUAAAAUUAGAUGAGUUUUGUAGUAUGUAUGCAUGCAAGGUAUCCAAAAGUUACUACAAAAUAUAUUCAAAACAGACAUGCAGUUGCACAUGCACAGCUGCCCACAGACUGUACUGCUGAUAAUUUAUCUUGAUCCUGCUCCCAUCAAAGUCAAUGGACUUUCAGUAAGAGAAGACUCAGACUUUUGGCUGCUAUUCCGGUUAAUUUAUUGCUAGAAGUGAUAAUUAUAUUGAAAACAAAAAGUUCAACACUUUUUAAGAGAAUAAAAGCAAACAGUA